GAAAUGCGAUACUUGGUGUGAAUUACAGAAUCCCGUGAACCAUCGAAUCUUUGAACGCAAGUUGCGCCCGAAGCCUUUUGGUCGAGGGCACGUCUGCCUGGGCGUCACGCAUUGCGUCUCCCCCAACCCACCUCGUGUGGGACGAGGGGAGGAGGAUGGCUUCCCGCGCCUCACCAGGCAUGGCUGGCCUAAAAAAGGAGCCUCAGGUUAUGCACUACUACGACAAUUGGUGGUAGACAAGGCCUUGGCCUCGAAUGCAAUCUCGUGUCGUACAGUACAUGGCAAUUGUGGGCUCGUAGGACCCUGAGUUGUUCCCAAUUGGAAACAAACCAUUGCGACCCUAGGUCAGGCGGGGCUACCCACUGAGUUUAA
RNAcentral lists this unclassified non-coding RNA (372 nucleotides) under uncultured fungus. RNAcentral describes it as "sequence contains ITS1". The stretch from base 1 to 107 matches the Rfam family "5.8S ribosomal RNA", at positions 50 to 154 of the family's 154-position model. Lineage: Eukaryota; Fungi. The record is from RNAcentral.